CCACCCCUGGCCAAAAUUAAACUUUACAAAAGAUUACCAUUCAGUUGUCACAUAUGUCCUUUACCCGAUUUCUGUGACACUGAGGAGUUUGAUAACUGCUUGUGAAAUUUGCUGCAGUCUAAUGUAUCAUGUUGUCUGCACAUGUGCUUUCUUUGAAGACACCAUUUGUCUUCUAACAAAUUGGAAAAUGAUCAAGACAGUGACUGAUUGAUUCACAUAUUGUAUUGACAUAUGACUAUAACUUUUUAUUACCCAACCCUUGAGUUGUUUUGUUUUUCAUUUACCCAACCUUUUACUUACUCAAAAUUUAGUUUACCCAACCAUUUUCUCUUCGGUGCCACCCCCCGCCAUAAAUAAUGACCGGUCCCU
This is a non-coding RNA of Paramuricea clavata, 369 nucleotides long. Lineage: Eukaryota; Metazoa; Cnidaria; Anthozoa; Malacalcyonacea; Plexauridae. The record is from the annotation of a GenBank genome assembly.